RNAcentral lists this ribosomal RNA (778 nucleotides) under Escherichia coli. Its description in RNAcentral is "partial 23S ribosomal RNA". It matches the Rfam family "Bacterial large subunit ribosomal RNA", at positions 990 to 1768 of the family's 2925-position model. Lineage: Bacteria; Pseudomonadati; Pseudomonadota; Gammaproteobacteria; Enterobacterales; Enterobacteriaceae. The record is from RNAcentral.
GGCGGGUGCUAACGUCCGUCGUGAAGAGGGAAACAACCCAGACCGCCAGCUAAGGUCCCAAAGUCAUGGUUAAGUGGGAAACGAAGUGGGAAGGCUCAGACAGCCAGGAUGUUGGCUUAGAAGCAGCCAUCAUUUAAAGAAAGCGUAAUAGCUCACUGGUCGAGUCGGCCCGCGCGGAAGAUGUAACGGGGCUAAACCAUGCACCGAAGCUGCGGCAGCGACACAUAGUGUUGUUGGGUAGGGGAGCGUUCUGUAAGCCUGCGAAGGUGUACUGUGAGGUAUGCUGGAGGUAUCAGAAGUGCGAAUGCUGACAUAAGUAACGAUAAUGCGGGUGAAAAACCCGCACGCCGGAAGACCAAGGGUUCCUGUCCAACGUUAAUCGGGGCAGGGUGAGUCGACCCCUAAGGCGAGGCUGAAAAGCGUAGUCGAUGGGAAACGGGUUAAUAUUCCCGUACUGGUGGUAACUGCGAUGGGGGAACGGAGAAGGCUAGGUUGUCCGGGCGACGGUCGUCCCGGUUCAAGCAGGUAGGCAGAGUGAUUAGGCAAAUCCGGUCACUUAAUGCUGAGAUGUGAUGACGAACCACCAAGGUGGUGAAGCAAUUGAUGCCCCGCUUCCAGGAAAAGCCUCUAAGCUUCAGGUUACCAACAAUCGUACCCCAAACCGACACAGGUGGUCAGGUAGAGAAUACUCAGGCGCUUGAGAGAACUCGGGUGAAGGAACUAGGCAAAAUGGUGCCGUAACUUCGGGAGAAGGCACGCUGGCGGUAGGUAAAGUCCC